This 460-nucleotide ribosomal RNA is filed under the name uncultured bacterium. RNAcentral's name for it is "partial 16S ribosomal RNA". It matches the Rfam family "Bacterial small subunit ribosomal RNA", at positions 338 to 795 of the family's 1533-position model. The record is from RNAcentral.
CCUACGGGUGGCUGCAGUGAGGAAUAUUGGUCAAUGGGCGUAAGCCUGAACCAGCCAAGUCGCGUGAGGGAUGAAGGCUCUAUGGGUCGUAAACCUCUUUUAUCAGGGAGUAAAGUGUGGGACGCGUCCUAUUCUGUAUGUACCUUAUGAAUAAGGAUCGGCUAACUCCGUGCCAGCAGCCGCGGUAAUACGGAGGAUUCGAGCGUUAUCCGGAUUUAUUGGGUUUAAAGGGUGCGUAGGCGGCCUUUUAAGUUAGCGGGGAAAUACUGGGGGUCAAACCUCGAAUUGCCGUUGAAACUGGGGGGCUUGAGUGUGUGUGAGGCAGGCGGAAUGCGUGGUGUAGCGGUGAAAUGCUUAGAUAUCACGCAGAACCCCGAUUGCGAAGGCAGCCUGCCAAGCCACUACUGACGCUGAGGCACGAAAGCGUGGGGAUCAAACAGGAUUAGAUACCCCUGUAGUC